RNAcentral lists this ribosomal RNA (433 nucleotides) under uncultured bacterium. Its description in RNAcentral is "bacterial SSU rRNA". It matches the Rfam family "Bacterial small subunit ribosomal RNA", at positions 355 to 796 of the family's 1533-position model. The record is from RNAcentral.
UCGAGGAUCUUCGGCAAUGGGCGCAAGCCUGACCGAGCGACGCCGCGUGCGCGAUGAAGGCCUUCGGGUUGUAAAGCGCUGUCGAGGGGGAGGAAAGCCGCAAGGCCUGACCGACCCCUGGAGGAAGCACGGGCUAAGUUCGUGCCAGCAGCCGCGGUAAGACGAACCGUGCGAACGUUGUUCGGAUUCACUGGGCUUAAAGGGCGCGUAGGCGGGCCGCACAGUCGGGGGUGAAACCUUCCGGCUCAACCGGGAGCGGGCUCCCGAUACUGGCGGCCUGGAGGGGGGUAGGGGCAUGCGGAACUUCCGGUGGAGCGGUGAAAUGCGUAGAUAUCGGAAGGAACGCCGGUGGCGAAAGCGGCGUGCUGGACCCCGCCUGACGCUGAGGCGCGAAAGCCAGGGGAGCAAACGGGAUUAGAUACCCCCGUAGUCC